This 486-nucleotide ribosomal RNA is filed under the name uncultured bacterium. Its description in RNAcentral is "partial 16S ribosomal RNA". It matches the Rfam family "Bacterial small subunit ribosomal RNA", at positions 30 to 507 of the family's 1533-position model. The record is from RNAcentral.
AUUGAACGCUGGCGGCAUGCCUUACACAUGCAAGUCGAACGGCAGCACGGGUGCUUGCUCCUGGUGGCGAGUGGCGAACGGGUGAGUAAUACAUCGGAACAUGUCCUGUAGUGGGGGAUAGCCCGGCGAAAGCCGGAUUAAUACCGCAUACGAUCUACGGAUGAAAGCGGGGGACCUUCGGGCCUCGCGCUAUAGGGUUGGCCGAUGGCUGAUUAGCUAGUUGGUGGGGUAAAGGCCUACCAAGGCGACGAUCAGUAGCUGGACUGAGAGGACGACCAGCCACACUGGGACUGAGACACGGCCCAGACUCCUACGGGAGGCAGCAGUGGGGAAUUGUGGACAAUGGUCGAAAGCCUGAUCCAGCAAUGCCGCGUGUGUGAAGAAGGCCUUCGGGUUGUAAAGCACUUUUGUCCGGAAAGAAAUCCUUGGCCCUAAUACGGUCGGGGGAUGACGGUACCGGAAGAAUAAGCACCGGCUAACUACGUG